Molecule: ribosomal RNA, 851 nt
Filed under: uncultured bacterium
Lineage: Bacteria
Description: SSU rRNA
Rfam family: Bacterial small subunit ribosomal RNA
Source: RNAcentral
UACGAGGGCCUCAAGCGUUAUCCGGAUUUAUUGGGCGUAAAGGGUCCGUAGGCGGUUUGGCGCAUCUCCUGUUAAAUCACGAGGCUCAACCUCGUGGCCGCGGGAGAGAUGGUUAAACUAGAGGCCGGACGAGGCAAGCGGAAUUGCUGGUGUAGGGGUUAAAUCCGUUAAUAUCAGCAGGAACACCAAAUGCGAAGGCAGCUUGCUAGGACGGUUCUGACGCUCAGGGACGAAAGCGUGGGGAGCGAAUGGGAUUAGAUACCCCAGUAGUCCACGCUGUAAACGCUGGAUGCUAAGCAUUGGCAGUAUCGACCCUGUCAGUGCUGCUUACCUAAGCUAACGCGUUAAGCAUCCCGCCUGGGGAGUACGGCCGCAAGGCUAAAACUCAAAGGAAUAGACGGGGACCCGCACAAGCGGUGGAGCAUGUGGUUUAAUUCGACGAUAAGCGAGGAACCUCACCAAGGCUUGACAUCUAGCUGCAGACCCCUGGAAACAGGGGAGCCUUCGAGGGUGCUAGACAGAUGCUGCAUGGUUGUCGUCAGCUCGUGCCGUGAGGUGUACCGUUAAGUCGGGAAACGAGCGCAACCCCUAUCCUAUGUUUUAUAUGCCAUAGGAAACUGCCCGCUUUAAGUGGGAGGAAGGUGGGGACGACGUCAAAUCAGCAUGGUUCUUACGCCUUGGGCUACACACGUGCUACAAUGGGAGGUACAACGGGACGCCAAGCCGUAAGGUGGAGCCAAUCCCCUAAAACCUCUCUCAGUUCGGAUUGAGGUCUGAAACUCGACCUCAUGAAGCCGGAAUCGCUAGUAAACGCGCAUCAGCCAUGGCGCGUUGAAUACGUUCUCGGGUCU